This 441-nucleotide ribosomal RNA is filed under the name uncultured bacterium. Its description in RNAcentral is "partial 16S ribosomal RNA". It matches the Rfam family "Bacterial small subunit ribosomal RNA", at positions 338 to 795 of the family's 1533-position model. The record is from RNAcentral.
CCUACGGGGGGCAGCAGUGGGGAAUAUUGCACAAUGGGGGAAACCCUGAUGCAGCGACGCCGCGUGAGUGAAGAAGUAUUUCGGUAUGUAAAGCCCUAUCAGCAGGGAAGAAGAAAGACGGUACCUGACUAAGAAGCCCCGGCUAACUACGUGCCAGCAGCCGCGGUAAUACGGAGGGGGCAAGGGUUAUCCGGAUUUACUGGGUGGAAAGGGAGCGUAGACGGCUGUGCAAGUCUGAAGUGAAAGCCCAGGGCUCAACCCUGGGACUGCUUUGGAAACUGGGGAGCUAGAGUGCGGGAGAGGUAAGUGGAAUUCCUGGUGUAGCGGUGAAAUGCGUAGAUAUUAGGAGGAACACCAGUGGCGAAGGCGGCUUACUGGACAGUAACUGACGCUGAGGCUCGAAAGCGUGGGUAGCAAACAGGAUUAGAUACCCGAGUAGUC